UUUUUUUUUUUUUUUUUUUUUUUUUUUUUUUUUUUUUUUUACGGAGUACUGUAUCAUAUGAGCAUAAUCAGGGAAAG
This 77-nucleotide non-coding RNA is filed under the name Perkinsus marinus. The record is from RNAcentral. Lineage: Eukaryota; Perkinsozoa; Perkinsida; Perkinsidae.